UGGGGUGUCGCCAAGUGGCUAAGGCAGCGGACUUUGAAUCCGCCAUUCGUAGGUUCGAAUCCUACCACCCCAG
RNAcentral lists this transfer RNA (73 nucleotides) under Chloroflexota bacterium. Its description in RNAcentral is "Chloroflexi bacterium tRNA-Gln". It matches the Rfam family "tRNA". From Rfam's summary of the family: Transfer RNA (tRNA) molecules are approximately 80 nucleotides in length. The record is from RNAcentral. Lineage: Bacteria; Bacillati; Chloroflexota.